UUCCUGGUAGCUUAAUUGGUAGAGCAUAUGGCUGUUAACCAUCAGGUUGCGGGUUCGAGUCCUGCUCAGGAAG
RNAcentral lists this transfer RNA (73 nucleotides) under Prionitis cornea. Its description in RNAcentral is "Grateloupia cornea tRNA-Asn". It matches the Rfam family "tRNA". From Rfam's summary of the family: Transfer RNA (tRNA) molecules are approximately 80 nucleotides in length. Their secondary structure includes four short double-helical elements and three loops (D, anti-codon, and T loops). Further hydrogen bonds mediate the characteristic L-shaped molecular structure. tRNAs have two regions of fundamental functional importance: the anti-codon, which is responsible for specific mRNA codon recognition, and the 3' end, to which the tRNAs corresponding amino acid is attached (by aminoacyl-tRNA synthetases). tRNAs cope with the degeneracy of the genetic code in two manners: having more than one tRNA (with a specific anti-codon) for a particular amino acid; and 'wobble' base-pairing, i.e. permitting non-standard base-pairing at the 3rd anti-codon position. The record is from RNAcentral. Lineage: Eukaryota; Rhodophyta; Florideophyceae; Halymeniales; Halymeniaceae.